ACCUCCUCUUCAAACUCUCUCUCUCUCUCUCUCUCUCUUUCACACACACACACACACACACACACAGAGGCUCUUUCUCUUUCUCUGUUUCUUUCCAUGGGUUCCUAUAUACUCUGUGAUGAGAUGAGAAUAAAGGUGAUCUUUGUUAUGGUUUUUCUUUUCUCUUCAGAGUUUGGUCUUCAACAACUUGGUGCAACACUAGGCAUCAACUAUGGCCAAGUAGCAAACAACCUCCCAUCUCCUGACCAAGCCCUGAUCCUCAUAAACUCCCUAAAGAUCACCAAAACAAGGAUCUAUGACACCAACCCUCAAGUUCUUACAGCAUUUGCUAACUCUAGCAUUGAGCUUAUCAUCACUGCACCGAACGAGAUCGUCGGAGAAUUAACAAAUCCACAACAAGCUUUACAAUGGGUAAUGACCAAUGUGCAACCUUAUAUUCCGACAACAAAGAUCACCGGCAUCGCCGUCGGUAACGAAGUCUAUACUACUGAGGAUGAAGCUCUCAUGUCCAACCUAGUCCCUGCCAUGAUUGCCCUCCAUUCAGCUCUAGUCCAACUCAGUCUAGACUCAUCCAUCUAUAUAUCAACAGCUAAUUCUCUUGCAGUGCUUGAGAACUCUUAUCCUCCAUCUUUAGGUUCAUUCAAGCCUGAACUGGUUCCUCUACUUGCCCCAUUCUUACAGUUCUUAGACACAACCAAGGCUCCAUUCUGGAUCAAUGCAUACCCUUACUUUGCUUAUAAAAAUGACCCUAUUAGGGUUCCACUAGACUAUGUCUUAUUUAACCCUAAUUCUACAGGGAUGGUGGAUCCUUACACCAACCUACACUAUGACAACAUGUUAUACGCUCAGGUUGAUGCAGUGACCUUUGCCAUUGCUCGGAUGGGGUAUGAAGGGAUAGAAGUUAGAGUUUCGGAGACCGGUUGGCCUUCGAAAGGCGAUGGCGAUGAGAUUGGUGCAACAAUGGAUAAUGCUAGAGUUUACAAUAGGAACUUGCUACUUAGGCAGAUGGAGAAUGAAGGGACACCAUUGAAGCCAAACCAGAAGUUGGACGUUUACUUGUUUGCUUUGUUUAAUGAGGAUUUGAAGCCCGGACCAACAUCAGAAAGAAACUAUGGUUUGUAUCAGCCUGAUGGCACCCUGGCUUACAAUGUUGGCCUUACCACCCUCACUUCUGGAGCUUCCAUUUCUCUCACUUCUUCUGCUACUUUGGGAUGUAGAGAAGAAGUUGGGAGCUUAUGGUGUUGGAUUUUGAUGCUGGCAUUGCUAAGAAUAAUGAUGAUAUUGUGAAGAAAGGAAUGGCUUUCAUGUGUAUAUAAUUAACUUUGACUCAAGAGGAAAUGAGAAACUAUGAGUCAACUUCUCCAAAAGAAGCAAGGAAAUUAACUUGUGUAUAUAAUGAAGGAAAAGCAAGUAAAGAGAGCUAUGCUUUGCAACGUGGAACGCAUUACAAAGGGUCUAUAAGAUUAGAACUCUUUUCCACUUUGUUGGAAUUUUCUUUAUUAUUAUUUUUUUAAAAAAAAAAGACUUUUUUUUAGUCAAAUAUUGGUGAUUUAAAAAUGGAGGAAAAUGGUCAGUAUAAGUGAAUAAAGACAAUGGGCGAAGUGUGGGGCAAGGUUCUUGCUUUCUGUGGCUUAACUUUAUUCUUAGUCCAUAACCAUAACCUUGUGCAAUGGAUCA
This is an RNA transcript of Dioscorea cayenensis subsp. rotundata (Guinea yam), 1677 nucleotides long. It is a transcript of the gene named glucan endo-1,3-beta-glucosidase 11-like, with no coding region annotated. The transcript is spliced from 4 exons. NCBI's taxonomy places the organism in Eukaryota, Viridiplantae, Streptophyta, Magnoliopsida, Dioscoreales, Dioscoreaceae. The record is from RefSeq and is a predicted model, not a curated record.